Long non-coding RNA from Prionailurus viverrinus (fishing cat), 846 nucleotides. RefSeq lists it as uncharacterized. The transcript is spliced from 4 exons. The record is from RefSeq and is a predicted model, not a curated record. Lineage: Eukaryota; Metazoa; Chordata; Mammalia; Carnivora; Felidae.
GGGAGGGAGUGAGGUCUCAUCCCCCUUCCCAGGCAGUGUGGGCCUUGAGCCUCAGGAGGGCCCAACAGAGCUGGACAGCCCAUCAGUCACUGGAGGUCGAGUGGCGCCGCACCAGGAGUUAGGGGCAGGGCCCACUUUUUCCGUUCGGCCUCCAUCUGCCAGGAGGGGCAGGGGCCCUAUGAAAAGAUUCAUCCCGAAGGCACAUCUCUGUCCAUACCAGGAGUAACUGCUGCUUCCCUGAUCAAAGCACUGGGCAAUUACAUUGCUUCCCUUCUAUUCUGUCACGGAAUCAGCCCAGAAACCCUGGAAACCCACAGCCAUGAACUCUCUGAGCCUGGUGCAUAAUAAAUGGUAGUCGUCAAUACGAAUGCAUAUGAAGUGCCUACUGUGUGCCAGGCCGUGUUAAGAGAAGUCUCUUACCCACUUCUAACCAGAUUGCCUGAAGCCAUUCUCCGGAUGGGAGCUAGCAGGUGCUGACUUCUUGCCCUGGGAAGGGAAGAACAUGGCUCUCUGCUUGGAUCUUCUCCUCCGAUGAGUCCUCAAGUUUCAUUCAUUUGACAAAUAUGAACUGGCACCCGCUAUGGACCGGACACUGAGAACACAAUAGUGAGGAAAUGGGAGUUAUCCUUGGGCUUGAAAAUGACAGCUCCAAGGAAAUGAGGUUGGGCCGGGGUACCAUCAAAGUCAGCAGCUCAGACCCUUUGUACAGGCAAAAAGAGGGAGCCAAGGAGAACUGGGUCUUGGGGGUUGCCUGAAACCCAAACAUGGGGCCCAUUUUUUAAAACAAUAAACUUAAAAAAAAUUUUUUUUAAUCUUUAUUUAUUUUUGAGAGAGAGACAGCUGUGA